This 2606-nucleotide long non-coding RNA is filed under the name Ficedula albicollis (Collared flycatcher). RNAcentral describes it as "lncRNA (ENSFALG00000028200.1)". Lineage: Eukaryota; Metazoa; Chordata; Aves; Passeriformes; Muscicapidae. The record is from RNAcentral.
CCCCCCCCCCCCCCCCCCCCCCCCCCCCCCCCCCCCCCCCCCCCCCCCCCCCCCCCCCCCCCCCCCCCCCCCCCCCCCCUCCCGGGCCGGUUCCGGGAAGCGGGGCUGUGGCCCCGUGCCGAGGGUGCUGGUCCCAUCCCGGGGUCUGGGUCUGUCCCGGGAAGCGAGGCUGUGACCCCACGGCGGGGGUCCCCCCCUGCGCCCCACAGGAAGCUGGCUCUCAAGUACCAUCCCGACAAGAACCCCGAUGACCCGGCGGCGGCCGAGCGGUUCAAGGAGAUCAACAGCGCCCACGCCACCCUGAGCGACGCGGACAAGCGCCGCCUGUACGACCAGUACGGCUCCCUCGGCCUCUACGUGGCCGAGCAGUUCGGCGAUGAUGCCGUCCGGCACUACUUCCUCAUGUCCAAGUGGUGGUUCCAGGCACUGUUGCUGUGCUGCGGUGCCCUCACCUGCUGCUGCUGCUGCUGCUGCUGCUUCUUCUGCUGCGGGACGUGCUGCCCGGCCAAAGAGGAUGAGUCUUACAAGUACGUGGACCCCAAGGACCUGGAGGCACAGAUGCGUGCAGAGGAGGGCGGUAAGUCAGGCUGGAGCUCAGCUGGAGCACCUGUGUUUGCUUUGUGGGGGCACUGGGGUCUCCCCAUGUCCCAUCUCAUGUGGGGGACAGAGUUCUGGCUCACGCCUUAGGUCGGUUUUAGCUGCAGCUCUUACUUCCAGCCAGCUCUCGGUGUUUCCUUUGUGGGCCAGGGCUGGUGACAGUGACAGAGGGAGCCACUGCCUGGGCCAUGGGCGCACCUUCUCCUUCCCUCUGGACAAAGGCCCCCUGAGCAGGCCUGAAGCUUAGAGACCCUUGGGCCUGUGCCCUUUGGGGCACAAAGCACGGGAAGAGUGGCUGUGCUUCAGGCUGGCUCUGUUCCCUGGCACUGGCUAUACUGGUGUCAGUGGGGCUGGGUGACUCCUGCAGUGGCGGGAAGAGUGGCUGUGCUUCAGGCUGGCUCUUCCCUGGCACUAUACUGGUGUCAGUGGGGCUGAGUGACUCCUGCAGUGCGGUUGGGGCAGCUCUGCACUGGCCAGGGAGGUGGAAGCUUUGGGCUGUGGGAGCCCUUGUGGGGCUGCUGUGAGAUUCCUGCUCACUGGCACCACAGGAUGGGGCUGAGCCACUGAUGUGCAGCUCUUCCUUUCCAGAUCCUCAGAUCCCUGUUGUAGCACAGCCCCCGCCUGCCAGCACGGAGCCGCUGCCAGCCAGCACCAGAAGUGACGCCUGAGGCUGGCCCCAUUCCGCCUGCUCCCCCAGGACUCGGGGCAGGGAUCCUCCUUUGGGACUGUCACUUUCUGGGACCAUGGUCCCGCUCCCCCCGACUGGCUCAUCAGCCUCGGGAGGGAUAGAAUCUCAGGUUAAUUUGGCCAGCAUCAAUGCACAGGUUCCUGGGCCCCUGCUCGAGCUCCAGGGCAAUGCCCCUGCGUCCCAGCACUGGUGGUGGCAGUGGCCUGGAGCCCGUGCUGCUGUGGCCCCCUUUAGUGCCUUGCCUGUGCCCCGUUGGGCACCGAGCACCAGGCACGAGCAGAGAUGCUCCAGGCUGAGCUCCGUGGCUCGGGCGAGGGGGCUGAGCGUGUCCAAGACCAUUAGCACUGUAACCUCUGGGGCUGGGCUGAGCCCAGUGCCCCCCUCAUGCCACCCUCCCGAUGGGUGCUGGGUGCCAAACGCUGCUGUGGGGUUGGGGUGCUUCUGUCUGUACCCCUUUCCUCUGCCCUCUGGGUUUGUCUGGGUUUUUGUGGGCACCAUUAAAGGCUGACGGGAGGGGAGUGUGUGUGUGUGCCUGGGCUCUGUCCAGGGCUGCCGGAGCACUUGGCAGCAGGAUGUGCCUCUGCCUGCUGUUGUCCCUGCCAGGGGCUGUGCCCAUGCAUCCUGCGGGGUGCUGGAUGCCUGGGGUGUGCAGUAAGCAGGUCAUGUCCUGUGUGGAGUGGGCAUGCCAAGUGGAGUGAACGUCACUUGUCUCCUGUCACCCAUCUGGUCUCACUCUCUGUCCCCUGCUGCUGGCUCCCACAGGCUCUGCUCUUCCUGCUCCUUGCUGCUGCAGCCCUGGAGCCCUGCUCCCGCUGCCCGGCACCGCCCCUGCUCCUGCCCUGCUCCUGCCCUGCUGGCCGGGAUGGGACCGAGGGGGGCGCAGUGACCCUCUUUCCCUUUCUUCCCAUCUCUGGUCACCGCCUCUGACCGCAGCUGCAUGGGUUCUGCCUCACUCCCUAAAUAUAGACAGGGUGCCAGGGUGAGCGAGGAUGGGGUGUCCUGGCACCAGCCCCUCCACGCUGCUGUUCGGGGGGGCUGGCACUGGGCUGGAGGGACCCCAACCUCCUUCAGCCCUGCUGCGUGCAGAGGGGGGCGCAGAGUCCCCAAGGUGACUGCCAGCCCUACAGCCCCUGACCAGCCAGCCCUGGUCCCCCGGAGCCUCGGCCGCUUCUCUCCGCGCGGGGGAUCCGCGGUCCCGAGACUCAGGCGGUCCCAGGGAAGGAGCCGGUCCCGGGACCAGCCGGUCCCCCCCCCCCCCCCCCCCCCCCCCCCCCCCCCCCCCCCCCCCCCCCCCCCCCCCCCCCCCCCCCCCCCCCCCCCC